Molecule: ribosomal RNA, 460 nt
Filed under: uncultured bacterium
Lineage: Bacteria
Description: partial 16S ribosomal RNA
Rfam family: Bacterial small subunit ribosomal RNA
Source: RNAcentral
CCUACGGUGGGCAGCAGUGAGGAAUAUUGGUCAAUGGACGAGAGUCUGAACCAGCCAAGUAGCGUGAAGGAUGACUGCCCUAUGGGUUGUAAACUUCUUUUAUAUGGGAAUAAACUGUUCCACGUGUGGGAGUUUGUAUGUCCCAUAUGAAUAAGGAUCGGCUAACUCUGUGCCAGCAGCCGCGGUAAUACGGAGGAUCCGAGCGUUAUCCGGAUUUAUUGGGUGUCAAGGGUGCGUAGGUGGAUUGUUAAGUCAGUUGUGAAAGUUUGCGGCUCAACAAUAAAAUUGCAGUUGAAACUGGCAGUCUUGAGUACAGUAGAGGUGGGCGGAAUUCGUGGUGUAGCGGUGAAAUGCUUAGAUAUCACGAAGAACUCCGAUUGCGAAGGCAGCUCACUGGACUGCAACUGACACUGAGGCUCGAAAGUGUGGGUAUCAAACAGGAUUAGAUACCCGGGUAGUC